GACACCCCUACACUGAAACUCUCGCUUAAAGAAGAAGAUAAUUAAAUUGUUAUUGCUAUUGAUUUUGAAAAAGGAAAAGCCUAACUCAAUUCUCCCUGUCUUACCGUUCACGCACCAAAAACCCUAACCCUUUCCAUUUCCCAAAAACCCUAAAUAAUCAAAGUUUCAAUUUUUAUUAAACCCUAAUUAUCAAAUCAACCUUCCCCUACAGUUCUAAAUUAAAAUAAUUAUUAAAAGAAAAGCAAGAAGACGAAUUAUCAUUAGUUUCAAAAUUAGGGUUUUGAUGAAUGGCUACAGGGCCAACUAAUACCAGCAGCAACAAGAAAGUGUAUGCCCAAAAACUCCAAACCAAUUACCGAAAUACCAGCCGUAUCCCUCAGUCAACGCCGCCUCCGCCGCUGUCGCAGCAGCAGCAGAAACCCUUCGAUACGGUGGCUUCCGACGACGAUUCAUCCAGUCACAGUCACCUCCCAUACAAUGGGAGAGGGAAUUUACUACCCGGGUAUGUCAAACUCGAUGAUAAAGUUAGAAUUAGCUUGAAUUGUGGAUCGAAAUCGGUUAUUAGAGAAUUGAAGAGGAAGUUAGUUAGUGAACUCGAUCAAGUUAGAAGCUUAAAAAAGAGACUUGAAGCUAAAGAAACUCAAUUUAAUGGUAGUAAUAGAACUGGUGGAACUCUUGCUAGGGUCAAUUCUGAAGUUAGUUAUGUGGGCCCCACAAAUUCACGGCCUUUGCAGAAGUUAGCUGAUAACACCAGUAAUAAUAAUCAUUUUGAGAAUUUGGAUAAAGAGAAGAAAACUUCAAAGGUUAAUCAUAAGAAGGAAAAGGUUUUGGGUUCAGAGAAUAUUAAGAAGAAGUUGAAGACGAGUAAUGAACCGAAGAAAGGAGGUGAGGGAAACAUAAUGGGUAGGUGUAACAGAGAGGUAUUUAAAAAGUGUGAGGAUUUGUUGGAGAAGUUGAUGAAGCAUCAGUAUGGAUGGGUGUUUAAUAAACCUGUGGAUGUGAAGAAAUUAAAAUUGCAUGAUUAUUUUAAGAUUAUUAAGCAUCCCAUGGAUUUGGGAACAGUGAAGAGUAGAUUAAAAAAGAAUUGGUAUAAGUCACCUAAGGAGUUUGCGGAGGAUGUAAAAUUGACUUUUAAUAAUGCUAUGAAGUAUAAUGAUAAAGGGCAGGAUGCACAUAUCAUGGCGGAUGUGUUGUUAAAGUUGUUUGAGGAGCACUGGGCGAUUAUAGAGCCUGAGUUUAUUAAUAAUGAGAGGGUUGAUAUGGGUUAUGAUGCAGGUUUGCCUAGACCUGCUCCUAAUAGAGCUUCAGCUCCUCCUGCUCCUGCCCCUUCCCCUGUCCUUGCUUCUGCUCCUCUGCGAAAAAUGCCCUCAGAGAGUAAGAUUUUGGAUAGAUCAGAAUCUAUGACAAAACCCAUGAAUUCUAGCAUGAAGGCUGCAAAUAUGGCUACACAUGAGGGUAGGCUACCCAUGUCAAAGAAGCCUAAAGAAAUAGAUCCUCAAAGGAGAGAGAUGACUUUUGAAGAGAAGCAGAGACUGAGUGCAGACCUACUGGAUAUGCCUUCAGACAAAUUGGAUAGUGUGGUACAGAUUAUUAGGAAGAGAAACCCUGGGCUUUGCCAACAAGAUGAUGAAAUUGAGGUGGACAUUGAUAGUUUUGAUUCUGAGACCCUAUGGGAACUUGAUAGGCUUGUGAAUAAUCACAAGAAGGGUUUAACCAAGGACUCAAGAAUAGCUGAACCUACUUUUCAAGCAAGAGGAGAAGCUGGCCACAACAUUGAGGAGACUAAUCUGACCUCUAGGGCUGCUGAGGCACCAGAAGAAUCUGAAGCUGUUGACAAGUUUGUAGUCACAUCUUCUAUUCAAAGAGAAAAACAAGGUGACAAUGUCAGCAGAUCAAGUAGGUCAAGUAGCUCUAGCAGUGAUUCUGGAUCCUCUUCAAAUGAUUCUGACAGUGGAAGUUCCUCUGGAUAUGGAUCAGAUGCAGGCCAAUGACACAGGAGUUUCUAGAUUCAGUUGAGGUAAUCAAAUUAUAUAGGGGGUUAUGAGGUUCCAGCAAGACGCCAUGUGAUUAUGCACUAUUUGUUGUCUGAUCUUUAUUUUGUAUAAUUGAAUUAGCUAUCUACAGGCUGCGUCUAAUGGGAAUCAUAUUUUGCAAUGUGCCUUUAUCUAAGGUUAAACUAUAUGGAAUGGGAGUUUGCAAGACCAUUGGAAUAUAGAUCAGUCAAGGCUGAUGUGCACUAAUGCAUUCAGUCAAGGCUGGUCUCUUGGCUAAAUCAUUCCUUAGGUGUAAAUUGAUCCAAUUGUAGCUGCACCUGACAAUACCGUUAAUGCUGAUUUUGCCCUGCCCUUGGCUGCACAGUGAGGAACAGUCUGUGUUUAACCUUCUUCGCAUUAUCAAAUGAUAUCUCAUCAACCUGAAGUACUUGAAAAAUUGUAUCGUGUUUUUGUAUCACGAGACUCUGCUUCAAAAGCUCACCGUGUUAUUGUAUCAUGAGAAUCUGCUUCAAAAGCUUACAUGGGGUUCUGCAAUGCCAAGGAGAUGUGGGGUAAGAUUUUAUAGUAUACUAGCGUUAGAAUUGGUUUUGCAAUCACUUGUCAGGUGAAUUUGAAAAGGAAUGGAAUCUGGUCAGCUUUUGUUGAUGUUAAAUGUUCAUUGCUCUCUGACUCACAGAAUCACGUAGUUCACCCGGUGGGACAAAAUUGAGAUUCACAAGUGAUAUUUUUUAUGAGGAAAAAGAAAGUGUACCUGAUGCACUGAAUACAUAUACCUAUUGAAUUGGUGAACUAUAGGGACAAAUUUAGGAGUUGGCAUGAAAAA
Molecule: RNA transcript, 2817 nt
Organism: Ricinus communis (castor bean)
Lineage: Eukaryota; Viridiplantae; Streptophyta; Magnoliopsida; Malpighiales; Euphorbiaceae
Gene name: transcription factor GTE4
Exons: 7
Source: RefSeq, a predicted model, not a curated record